UCGCCGAGUCAUAUGAACAACUCGACGAGUUGUUCUUGAGCUAAGAAGAUUGCCUUGGACUCGCCGAGUUGUAUGAACAACUCGUCGAGUCCCUCCAUUACUGAGUCUGCCCUCCAACUCACUGAGUCCACUCUACUACUCACAGGCUUCCACUCGACAUCACUCAAAAAGGGGAAAAACGGGACUCGCGACUUGACUCGCCGAGUCGUUCUUCCGACUCGCCGAGUCACAUCCAUGCAGCUACUCUAAACUCGAUUCUGCUUGAAUCCAGCGUCUGAAACUUAUAGAUCUGGGCUUCCUUAACUCGAUUAGCACGUAAAGAUUCUAUCUUUACGUGCCCAUAAGCGACCAAGAAGAUAAUAAGGCUCAAAAAGCAUAAUAAAGGCUAGAUCUAGGGUUCUUAUGCAAAGCAUCUUCAAAAAGGCAAAAGAUCCGAGCUCUACAACUCCUAAAUGAACAGACCUAGUGAUAUCUCGACCUAUUAAGGCAUCCAUACAACUAUAAGGCUUGGAAAAUGCACCAAACUACCCCUAGGAGAGUUCUAAUGGUGGUCUAAAGCAUAAAACAGAAAGAAUCCGAGAAUACCUCAAUGAACUCUAAUUUUGCCCUUGGAUCUUUGCUCUACACCUCUUCUCUUUGCUCCUUUCUUCUUCUUCUUCUUCAAGCCUUCAGAAUCCCCACACAAAAGCACAUAAAACAAUAAGGGGAUGGAUUAGGGUUUUCUCACAGCUCUCUGAGGGUGAAGAAGGCGAGUUUGGGGCACAUAGCAUUGCUUAAAUAGUGAGCAACCCGGGGAUUUAGGGUUUCUUCCAAGCAGGCAGACUCGCCGAGUCCCGAAUAUGGACUCGCUGAGUCGCCGACUAACACGUGCACGAAAAAUCGACCCUACUCGACAAGUCAUGCCAUAGACUCGCCGAGUCCCUCAAUAAAACUUCUAAAUAAAUGCCACGGAAGCAACAUACCAGAGACGGGGCGUUACAAUUCUCCCCCACUUGUCUCAGACUUCGUCCUCGAAGUCUGCUGUGGCUGAAUCUGCAAAUAACUCUGGGUAAUGCUCUCUCAUUUCUUCCUCAGCCUCCCACAUCCACUCAGACCCUUUCCGCUGCUGCCACUGCACCUUCACUAACUGAAUUGUUUUGUUCCUCAAGGUCUUUGUCUUCCGGUCCAGAAUCGCGACCGGCCUCUCAAUAUAAUUCAGGCUGCUAUCAACCUGAAUAUCCUCUAGGGGAACAACUGCUGACUCAUCCACCAAACACUUCCUCAACUGAGACACAUGGAAAGUGUUGUGGAUCUGGCUAAGCUCUACAGGAAGAUCCAACCGAUAAGCAACCCGACCCACUCGGGCCAAAACCCUGAAAGGACCAAUGAACCUGGGGCCCAGCUUGCCCCUCUUCCGAAACCUGAUGACACCCUUCCAGGGUGAGACCUUCAGGAGGACCAUAUCGCCCACCCGGAACUCCAAGUCUGAACGCCUCCUGUCGGCGUAGCUCUUCUGCCGACUCUGCGCAGUCUGCAGUCUACUACGGACCUGCUGAAUCAACUCGGUCGUCUUGAGCACCACCUCUGUGCUCCCAAUGACUCGCUGACCGACCUCGCCCCAACAAAUCGGGGUCCUACACUUCCUCCCAUAAAGCAUCUCAAAGGGAGGUCGAUCAAUGCUCGCAUGAUAACUGUUGUUAUACGAAAAUUCCGCUAACGGAAGAUACGUAUCCCAACUGCCACCGAAGUCUAGAACACAUGCCCUGAGCAUGUCCUCGAGAGUCUGAAUCGUCCUCUCGCUCUGCCCGUCCGUCUGAGGGUGGAAAGCGGUGCUGAAAUGAAGACGAGUACCCAUCUCGUCGUGAAACCGCUUCCAGAAUCUGGAUGUAAAACGGACAUCUCGGUCUGACACCACCGAUACCGGCACUCCAUGACGUGCCACGAUCUCACGCACAUAGAUAUCGGCUAACUUUUCUGCCGAUAUACUCUCCUGGAUCGGGAUAAAAUGAGCACUCUUCGUCAACCGAUCCACUACUACCCAUAUCGAAUCUACUCCUCGUGCGGUCCUGGGAAGCUUGGUGACAAAAUCCAUGGUGAUGUCCUCCCAUUUCCACACGGGAAUGUCUAACGGCUGCAUCUUGCCGUGAGGCCUCUGGUGCUCCGCCUUGACCUUCCUGCAGGUCAGGCAUCUCUCAACAUACCAAGCGACAUCCCGCUUCAUGCAGGGCCACCAAUAAUCGGGUCGAAGAUCUCUAUACAUCUUCGUCGCCCCUGGGUGGAUAGAAAAUCGAGACUUAUGAGCCUCGUCCAUCAACACCUGCCGUACUCCACCCCAGUACGGUACCCACACUCUCCCAUGAAGUGUCAGCAAUCCCCGACUGUCAUAAUCAAACGAAGCUACUCGGCCCACUAUCCUCUCACACUUUUGCCUCUCCUCCUUGAGGCCCUCAACCUGAGCCUCCCUGAUCCGUUCCAACAACGGAGUAAUCACUGUCAUCCUCAAACACAAAUCUCUGAUAGGGGCUGCCGACACUUUGCGGCUUAGGGCGUCGGCCACCACGUUGGCCUUCCCUGGAUGGUAAAGGAUCUCACAAUCAUAAUCCUUCAGCACAUCCAACCACCUCCUCUGCCUCAUGUUCAGACUCGGCUGAUCCAUAAGGUACCUCAAACUCUUGUGAUCCGUGUAGAUAGUACAACGGACCCCAUAAAGAUAAUGCCUCCAAAUCUUGAGGGCAAACACAACCGCCCCCAGCUCUAAAUCAUGGGUAGGAUAAUUAGCCUCGUGAGGCUUCAACUGCCUCGAGGCGUAAGCUAUCACAUGGCCUCGCUGCAUCAACACUGCUCCCAUACCUGUGAUUGAGGCAUCACAGUAGACUACGAAGUCCUCUACUCCCUCUGGCAAGGUAAGGAUCGGAGCCUCGCACAAUCUCUGUCUGAGGGUCUCGAACGCUGCCUGCUGCUCAGGCCCCCAACGAAAUACCACCGACUUCUUGGUCAGUCGGGUGAGCGGCACUGCUAUCUUGGAGAAAUCCUGAAUAAAUCUCCGAUAAUACCCUGCCAACCCUAGGAAGCUCCGAAUCUCAGAUGGAGACUUCGGGACCUCCCACUGCAUCACGGCCUCUAUCUUGGCCGGAUCCACCAAAAUACCCUUCUGGUUGACGAGGUGACCAAGGAACUGCACCUCGCGCAACCAGAACUCACACUUGGAGAACUUUGCGAAAAGUCUCUCCCUCCUCAAAACUUCCAGCACCUCCCUCAGGUGCUCCUCGUGCUGCUCCUGCGUCUUGGAAUAUACCAAGAUAUCAUCUAUGAAUACUAUCACUGACCGAUCCAGCAUCGGCCUACACACGCGAUUCAUGAGAUCCAUGAACGCGGCUGGGGCAUUGGUGAGCCCAAAUGGCAUCACCACAAACUCAUAAUGACCAUACCUGGUCCUGAAAGCAGUCUUCUGCACAUCCUCAUCCCUAACCCGCAUCUGAUGAUACCCGGAGCGUAGAUCGAUCUUGGAGAACCAAGACGCUCCCUGAAGCUGAUCAAACAAAUCAUCUAUCCUCGGAAGUGGGUAACGGUUCUUCACCGUUACCUUAUUCAACUCCCGGUAAUCUAUACACAUACGAUGCGACCCAUCCUUCUUCCUCACAAACAGGAUCGGCGCUCCCCAAGGCGAACUGCUCGGCCGAAUGAAACCCUUGUCUAGCAGCUCCUGCAGCUGCGUAGACAACUCCUGCAUCUCAGGGGGAGCUAGGCGAUACGGUGCCUUGGCUAUCGGAGCCGCACCAGGAAUCAGGUCGAUCCCAAACUCAACCUGCCUCUCAGGAGGUAUUUUCGGUAAAUCCUCGGGAAAUACAUCCGGAAAGUCUCUCACUAUCGGGACAUCAUCAACUGUCUUCUUGCCCUUCUCCCGGGCAUCCAAGACAUAAGCUACAUAACCAGCGCAACCCUGCUGAAAAUAGCGUCUCGCCCUUGCGGCGAAACAAAAGGUCGGUCCACGUUGUGGUCUCUCUCCCUGAAUCACUAACUCUCCCCCAAUGGGAGUGCGAAUCCUCACUAGCUGAUGUUCACAAUCAAUCACCGCCCCGUUGGGGCUUAGCCAAUCCAUGCCCACAAUAACCUUAUUCCCUCGCAGGGGAAUAGGAACCAGGUCCACCGAAAACUGCUCGUCAAACAACUGAAGAGAACACCCUCUAUGCACUCUGGCGACCCUCAUGGUCCUGUCGUCUGCUAUCUCAACCUCUAGUGGACAAUCCAGCUCCCCUGGNCGGAGCCGCACCAGGAAUCAGGUCGAUCCCAAACUCAACCUGCCUCUCAGGAGGUAUUUUCGGUAAAUCCUCGGGAAAUACAUCCGGAAAGUCUCUCACUAUCGGGACAUCAUCAACUGUCUUCUUGCCCUUCUCCCGGGCAUCCAAGACAUAAGCUACAUAACCAGCGCAACCCUGCUGAAAAUAGCGUCUCGCCCUUGCGGCGAAACAAAAGGUCGGUCCACGUUGUGGCCUCUCUCCCUGAAUCACUAACUCUCCCCCAAUGGGAGUGCGAAUCCUCACUAGCUGAUGUUCACAAUCAAUCACCGCCCCGUUGGGGCUUAGCCAAUCCAUGCCCACAAUAACCUUAUUCCCUCGCAGGGGAAUAGGAACCAGGUCCACCGAAAACUGCUCGUCAAACAACUGAAGAGAACACCCUCUAUGCACUCUGGCGACCCUCACGGUCCUGUCAUCUGCUAUCUCAACCUCUAGUGGACAAUCCAGCUCCCCUGGAGCUCUGCUAAAUCUCUUGCUAAGCGCAAGCGAUACGAAUGAUCGGGUAGCCCCCGAAUCGAAUAAUACCAUAGCAGAAAUGCCGUUCACAGAGAACGACCCUAUAUAAAACAUACAAUCAUAAGCAAUAAUCAAUCAAUAAUAAUAUAGAGAUGAAGGGAAGAUACAUACCCGUCACCACAUCAGGAGUCGCUCGCGCCUCCUCUGCUGUCAUCUGAAACGCCCUACUCUUCGCCACUAGCGCCUCAGCUCGGCCCUGCCGGCCAUCUGUAAUCCUCAAAGUAGCAGGGGCAGGUGCAGCCACCUUCCCUACUGCAGCUAAACUCGGACACUGGGACUUUUUAUGUCCCCUCUGAUUGCACUGAAAGCAAAUCAGAUCUGAUGCUGCAAUGGCAGUAGGGGUCGUACAAUCCCUGCUCAAAUGCCCCAUCCGACCGCACCUGAAACAGCCGGAAUUCCCUGCCUUGCACACCCCAUCGUGCAUCCUCCCACACUUGCCACAUCGACCAUGGCUCUACUGACCCCUGGAUCUGUGAUCAGAAACCUUGGGCUUUUUGCCUGAACCUCCUGAACCCGAAACCGUCUCCGGUUUCCUCUUCUUCUCCAUCUCAAGAUCAAUCUCCCUCUCUCGAGCCCUAGCAAUCAUGUCGUCCAACGUUUUACAGCUGGACCGGCUCACAAACUGGCGGAUAUCGCUCCGCAACAUCUCAUGAUAACGGGCCUUCUUCAUCUCCUCAUCGGCUGCAUACUGAGGAACAAGAAGAGCCCUCUCCCUGAACUUGGCGGUGAUCUCCGCCACGGUCUCUGUAGUCUGGGUGAGGUCCUGAAACUCUCUGGCUAACUGCUGCACCUCAAUAACUGGUGCAAACUCCGCCCUGAACCUGGUAGAGAAAUCAGCCCAGGUCAUGGCAUCCAACGCUGCAUCAUCUCCAAUGGUAUGUCCGACCUCCUCCCACCAAUCCCGUGCCCUGUCCUUCAGAAGACAGGACGCCAAUCUGACCUUGUCCCCCUCGGGACACCUGCUAGUGCGGAACGCGUUGGCCACAUCCGCCAACCAUCUAGUACUCGCUAUGGGGUCCCGCGCCCCAUGAUAGUCUGGAGCUCCACAUGCCCUGAACUCCCUGAAUGUAAGUGUGCGCGACCCCAUCAUGGCCGCCACCUCGGCACGGAAGGUGCCCAAUCUCUCAUCCAUCAGCUCUAGGAUACCCUCCUUGAUCGAACCGAAGAUCACAGGAGUCUGCUCUAAAAUGAUACGAGUAAUCUCUGAAGAAAGAAACUCUCUGGUCUGCUCAUCCAUGCGCUCGUCCCCCGAGCCUGAUCCUGAUCCCUCCCCGGCACCUCCACUGCCGGCUGCUGUCCUCGGACGCAAAACCACCAUUCUGAAACACAUCAUAGCAACAUCAGAAAACUGAAAUAUCUCAAGGGAUCAUUGAUACUACUACUAGCUUCCUGGUCUUGUCUCGGCCUUCCUUGAUUCGAGUACGGAUCCUCUGCUUUCAGUAGUACGGGCCCAUACUACCUUCCACAUCUAUCCGUACUUUCCUCAAGAACUGCCUUGACUCCACCAAGUCACUUCUACUACUACUGAUCUCUGCUACUCUCAUCCUAGGCUUGCCCUAGGGAAAUCUCUGACUCCACUCAAACCAGUCCUCAGCUGCUGAAGGCCUCCUUGUAAUGCUAAUUAGCCACCACCUGAAUACCAUCACAUGCAAUGAGGCUCGGAUAAUCCUUCGAGUAAAAGACUCGUCCCUACAACGGUUGGACUCAGACAAGAGCUGCGCAAUAGGGCCAAAUCCAGCACUCUGAGAUUAUUCAACCCUGCUCACAUGUGAUGUGACGUAUUCACCUAAUGGCUAACUCCCACCACUCAGAGUCCCACAAAGCACAAAGCAAGCAGCAUUCGGAUAAAGGAAACAUACUCAGGCAAAACUAUUCUCAUAACGAGAAACUACACUAGCAUACAAUGCUAAGCUCGCGCUACCAGGCAUAACCUAAACAGGCUAUCCUACUGCUGUCUACUCAAUACUAGCAUGCAAUUCUCAUAAAGCUGUAACACAUAUAGCAGGCACAUAAGGCAUCCUCCUAGAUCCUUAGUCCUAUACUAGCAUGCUGUUCUACUGAAACUGGAACAAUUAAUCAUAAUAAUAAAACUUGUAUUGGUAAUUUGGGAGUACUUACUUGCGCUCGGCUGAUCGCAUGCACCACACCCUUAUCUUGUUUAAAAAUUCUUUUCUUUCUAAGUGCUUUUCAAAAUUUCAUUCGAAAACAUUUUUCUUUUUGAAAAUCUUUUUAUCUUUCCCUUAGUUUGAGUUCAGAUGCACCCGGAGGUGUAUCCGAAUCCCUCAAACCAAGGCUCUGAUACCAACUUGAAACAACCCAAAAAUACCACCCAAAAAUUUCGAUUUUUAUUAUAACAAAGCCACGAGACUGAGUAUCACAUAAUAAAACCACAUGUUGCGUGUUUCAAAAACCAUAAUAAAAUACUGUGAGAAAAACUGCAUCACAAUUGUAUCCAAACAUAUCAAGAACACUAAAUCAAUUCCCAGGACAAAACUGAAGCUAUGGUGUGUGCGAUGCCAUCAUCCCGAGCUCUUCCCUUUGCUUGCGGAAGUACCUGAAACCAAAACUGAAACUGUAAGCACGAAGCUUAGUGAGCUCCCCCAAACUACCACAUACCAUACAAUACAUAUAAAGCACAUACUGGGCCUUGCCCACUGCAUCNCCUACAUCGGACCGAAGUCCGACACUGGCUGGGACCCCCGUCCCCUACAUCGGGCCGAAGUCCGAAGCUAACUGGGACACCCCGUCCCCUACAUCGGACCGAAGUCCUAAGCUAACUGGAACUCCCCGUCCCCUACAUCGGACCGAAGUCCAAAGCUAACUGGAACUCCCCGUCCCCUACAUCGGACCGAAGUCCGAAGCUAACUGGAACUCCCCGUCCCCUACAUCGGACCGAAGUCCGAAUCUGACUGAACACGGCAUAGCAUAACAUGUCAUCUAGCAUAAACACAUAACUCCUGUCUAAGCCACGAAGGCGUCAAACAUACUAGCUACUGCAUUGGACCGAAGUCCAGAAACUACGGCUAACUGAAUGGGCCGGCAUUGUGGCCUUAGACCCGUUCCUACUGAAGGGAAACUCACCUCGUGAACUGGCUGUUAUGUGAAUGGCUCUGGAAGCAAACUGUUGCUGCUCCGGUAUCUCCCGGCUACAAGUCCAUAAACACACUCAAUCAAAUGCUAAACACUACACUGGGGGUAAAAUGACUCUUUUACCCUUGGUCAAAGUCAACUCUCUCGGUCAAAGUCAACCCACAGUUGACCUGACUCGCCGAGUUGGGCCGCCAACUCGCCGAGUCNUGAACAACUCGUCGAGUCCCUCCAUUACUGAGUCUGCCCUCCAACUCACUGAGCCCACUCUACUACUCACAGGCUUCCACUCGACAUCACUCAAAAAGGGGAAAAACGGGACUCGCGACUUGACUCGCCGAGUUGUUCUUCCGACUCGCCGAGUCACAUCCAUGCAGCUACUCUAAACUCGAUUAUGCUUGAAUCCAGCGGCUGAAACUUAUAGAUCUGGGCUUCCUUAACUCGAUUAGCAUGUAAAGAUUCUAUCUUUACGUGCCCAUAAGCGACCAAGAACAUAAUAAGGCUCAAAAAGCAUAAUAAAGGCUAGAUCUAGGGUUCUUAUGCAAAGCAUCUUCAAAAAGGCAAAAGAUCCGGGCUCUACAACUCCUAAAUGAACAGAUCUAGUGAUAUCUCAACCUAUUAAGGCAUCCAUACAACUAUAAGGCUUGGAAAAUGCACCAAACUAGCCCUAGGAGAGUUCUAAUGGUGGUCUAAAGCAUAAAACAGAAAGAAU
Molecule: long non-coding RNA, 8589 nt
Filed under: Lactuca sativa (garden lettuce)
Lineage: Eukaryota; Viridiplantae; Streptophyta; Magnoliopsida; Asterales; Asteraceae
Description: long non-coding RNA (LSAT_LNC009989)
Source: RNAcentral